RNAcentral lists this long non-coding RNA (4157 nucleotides) under Homo sapiens (human). Its description in RNAcentral is "non-protein coding MIR34AHG:10". The stretch from base 405 to 481 matches the Rfam family "mir-34 microRNA precursor family". Lineage: Eukaryota; Metazoa; Chordata; Mammalia; Primates; Hominidae. The record is from RNAcentral.
AUGCGCCCUGCCUGGCCCCCACCUGGUCCUCUUUCCUUUUCAGGUGGAGGAGAUGCCGCUGUCCCGUCGGUCUGGGGACAGCCCAGCUCCCCGGAUCCCGGGCUGGAGAGACGCGUCGCGGCCCCGGGGCCUGGUGGCACGAGCAGGAAGGAGGACCCGGCGGCGGGCUCUGCCUGGGCUUGCCUGGGCUUGUUCCGAGCCGGGCUGCUUCUCGGUGACCACGCAGAUCGGGGGCAUUUGGAGAUUUUGCGGGAGUCCUGCAGCCAAGCUCCGGGGCAGGAGAGGCCUGGAAGCCUGCACUACCUGCUCGCCCCGUCCCAGCAUGCACCCAGGUGCUGGGGAGAGGCAGGACAGGCCUGUCCCCCGAGUCCCCUCCGGAUGCCGUGGACCGGCCAGCUGUGAGUGUUUCUUUGGCAGUGUCUUAGCUGGUUGUUGUGAGCAAUAGUAAGGAAGCAAUCAGCAAGUAUACUGCCCUAGAAGUGCUGCACGUUGUGGGGCCCAAGAGGGAAGAUGAAGCGAGAGAUGCCCAGACCAGUGGGAGACGCCAGGACUUCGGAAGCUCUUCUGCGCCACGGUGGGUGGUGAGGGCGGCUGGGAAAGUGAGCUCCAGGGCCCCAGGAGCAGCCUGCUCGUGGGUGCGGAAGGAAAAAGGCACAGGGGCUUGGUGUGGGCGGCUUUUGGCUGGGAGAAGUUUGCACGUAGGGAGAAUAGUAGCCAGUGUUUGCAGAGCACUUACUAUGCAGGAAGGCCUGUCCUAAGUAUUGUAAGUGUAUUACAUCAUGUACAAGUGUCUGUGAUUAACCCCGUCUUGCAGAGAAGGAAACAAAAGUACAAACAGAAAAUGUAACUAAGCAUGCAAUUAAUAAAAAGGGACCAGGUUUUGAACGCGAGCAAUCUGGCUCAAGAAUCUGCGCCCAACCACCGGCUCCUGUUCUUAGAGAUGAACGUGGAGUCCUGGAGACUGCUCAACAUUGUGACUUGACUGUGAGCGUACGCGCUCCCUGUCCCCAGGAGACAGAUUUCCAGUGCAAUCAUAGAAAGUGCCUGUGUGGGCUUCGGGAGAUGUGUCUGCCUUGGGGAGAAUUUUCCUUUUCAGCUAGAGCCAGGCCCAGGAUGUUGACGUCAGUGAGACGCUGGUGACGUUCUCUGCUCCAGUGGCUGAUGAGAAAAGUUCCUCCAAGCCAGCUCAGUUGAGAAGAAUUAAGUUCUCUGGGUCCCACUGGCUUCACCUACAGAUGCCAACUUUGAGGCCAGUGAACUGUGAGGCCAGCUGGGCUGAUUGCCAUGGCAACAGGAAUUGGACCAAAGUCACCGGAGGAUGGAGAGGGAAGACACAGUGGUGGCUUCCCCAGGUCUUGGACCACAAGGCACAGCCGUGGCCUCCAGGAACCCUGAGAUAACCCGUUAGUGGGUCCUGCACUCCAACAGAGCUCAUGCAAUCAGCCUCUGGUCCUCACCCUCCUCCCAUUGGUGUCGUUGUGCUCUCUAACAUUGACAUUGAGCAGUGAGUGCUCCAGAUCUUGUUCCACUGAUUUUUUCCACUGUUCUCCAGUCUAGCACUUUCUGAAAUUCAUCCAAGCCUAAGAGGUGACGCCAAACGUAAGUGUCUUACACCUCGGACCCCAUGGACUAAGACAAGCCUCUGGGGUCCAUGUGGCACCAAGGAUGGGGCCUUCUAGUACCUUUCACACAGGCCAGGGACAGCACCUGCUGCGACCCCCACCCCCAGCCUCUGCUGCUUCUCCCGUUGCCCUUCCAGCCACUGCCCUGGGCACCUCCCCUGCUCCCGCCUCCCUGCCUGGGCCCAUCUUUCUUUGCACCUCACCAAUUGCGGGGCUUCCUAGUGCUGGAGGGGAAGGGAGCCUGCUUCCAUUCUCACCACUCUGAAAGAAGACCCUGCAGAGAGGUUUUCUGGAAUUUGGAGCCUAACCUUGGCCUUGACACAGUCCAGAUGAGAAGGCCGUCCCCCAGUUAAGCCAGCCCUCCCUCCCUCUCAAUGCUGGAGAGGAAACCAGGCAGCUGGUUGCUUCAGCAAACCCCCUCCCUAUGGGAAUUGUCCUUUUCUUCCUCAAAUAGACUGGAGUGCAGAGGACUUGCUUCAGAGAGAGCCCCUUUGUAACGCACAUUGCACGGGCCGUGCCCCAUGCCCACUCUGCCACAAACUCCCCUCAGCUGCCCAGCCCCGUGGAGCCAGGCGUGGGCUGAAGUGGGGCCAAUGAAAUGCCUGGAAUGCCAGCCGCAGUGACAGGCCAGCACUCAGAUGCCUCUCGGGAGUUCUGACCGAAGCAGCACUGAGGACUGCUUCAGAGCAGAAGUCUACGCCAUUUUCCCCAGUUCUAGGCAGAAGUAAAGAAUGUCUCUACCUUCUCCCAACCAGCAAUUGAUUCAGAGUCCUGAGCUUUUAAAUUAAAGGGACCCCUCUGUUGCUUUAUGCAGUAGCCAGCUUAUUCAUUUGAGUUCAGGUGAAAUCAUUUUCAAGUAACCUCUUCCUAUCCAGCUUUACUUUUAGUUAUGCUGACAUAAAAACAAUAAAAAUUGUCCUCCUCAGAGUUCACCUGUAAAAGUUCCUGGAUAAUUAGUAAGGAAACAGAAAGAGCAGAUAGUUGUUGCUUCAGAUAAAAGUGAUGUCUGGGUUGGGCACGGUGGCGCAUGCCUGUAAUCCCAGCACUUGGGGAGGCCCAGGUGGAUGGAUCCCUUGAGCUCAGGAGUUUCAGACCAGCCUGGGCAACAUCUCUACAAAAAAUACAAAAAUUAGCCAGGCAUAGUGGCAGGACUGUAGUCCCAGCUACUCAGGAGGCUGAGGUCAGGGGAUGGCUUGAGCCCAGGAGGCACAGAUUGAAGUGAGCUGAGAUUGCGCCACUGUAUUCCAGCCUAGGUGACAGAGCCAGACCCUGUCUCAAAUUAAAAAAAACUCUUUGUGGUCAUUUAAUUUACUUCUGCAUUCUUUUUUUUUUUUUUUUGAAAUGGGCAGUGGUACCAUCUCAGCUCACUGCAACCUCUGCCUUGGGGGUUCAAGUGAUUCUCCUGCCUCAGCCUCCCGAGUAGCUGGGAUUACAGGCACCCGCCACCACGCCCAGCUAAUUUUUGUAUUUUUAGUAGAGACGGGGCUUUGCCAUGUUGACCAGGCUGGACUCAAACUCCUGACCUCAGGUGAUCCGCCCACCUCGGCCUCCCAAAGCACUGGGAUUACAGGAAUGAGCCACUGCACUCGGCCUACUUCUGCAUUCCUUAGAGUACAUCCUAGCUAGGAUAUAUUCACUUGUCUUUAGAGCUAACAGCAGAAGAAAGGUACCUAGAUGCUUAUCUAGCUCUUUAUCUUUCUAGAAAUUCUAGAAGAUGAGAGGGGCAGUGGUGGCUCCAAGGGAGUGAUUUUAGGAUGGACUGGGACAGAGAGGGGCUGCUUACACAUACUCACACAGAGGCCAUUAAUUUAGGGAGUUCAAGGUCCAGGAGGUUGACGGCAUCUAGGCCUGUGGCAGAGUGCACUCCUGCUUUGGGGAAUGUAUGGGCAGCUUCUUGCCUGUAGUUGGAGGGUUAGAGAGAGGGAUCAAUAAUUUCAUGGUUGGACUUGAGUUUGGAGCGAGUGGAGUUAGAUACAAAUUCUAUGUUUUUGGAGAAAGUAUUUGAUCUUCUUGGCUGUGAGGCAAAGCGAGGUUUAAAAAUAUUUUUCACUUAAAAAUAUAUAUAUAUGCAUGUAUAUUUAAUACUGUCUAUGGAUUGUGCCAAUAUCUAUUUCAUGGUUUUGAUAUUGUGUAGUUAUACAAGGAGUUACCACUGAACGAAACUGGGGGAAGGGUACACAGAAUCUCUGUACUUUUUUUGUUGUUGUUGCAAUUUCCUGUAAAUCUAUGAUUAUUUUAAAAUAAAAAAGUUAAAGCAUACGUAUUUACAUUUGAUUAAAUGCAGUGUGAUAUCCUGGGUUGGAUUUUGGAACAAAACAAGGCAUGAGUGAAAAAACUGGUAAAAUCCAAAAAAGCCUUUAGUUAAAAGUAAUACCAGUGUUAAUUUCUUAGUUUUGACAAAUGUGCCAUGGCUGUGUAAGAUGCAAAUGUUAGAGGAAACUGGGCGAAGAAUUUGAGGGAACUCUCUGUACUAUUCUUUGCAGCUUUUCUGUAAAUCUACAAUUAUUCCAAAAUAAAAGUCUAUUAAAAAUGUAA